GGGGUUCUGAGAGGAAGAGCCGCGGUAAUACGGAGNAUCCGAGCGUUAUCCGGAUUUAUUGGGUUUAAAGGGAGCGUAGAUGGAUGUUUAAGUCAGUUGUGAAAGUUUGCGGCUCAACCGUAAAAUUGCAGUUGAUACUGGAUAUCUUGAGUGCAGUUGAGGCAGGCGGAAUUCGUGGUGUAGCGGUGAAAUGCUUAGAUAUCACGAAGAACUCCGAUUGCGAAGGCAGCCUGCUNAGCUGCAACUGACAUUGAGGCUCGAAAGUGUGGGUAUCAAACAGGAUUAGAUACCCUGGUAGUCCACACGGUAAACGAUGAAUACUCGCUGUUUGCGAUAUACUGCAAGCGGCCAAGCGAAAGCGUUAAGUAUUCCACCUGGGGAGUACGCCGGCAACGGUGAAACUCAAAGGAAUUGACGGGGGCCNGCACAAGCGGAGGAACAUGUGGUUUAAUUCGAUGAUACGCGAGGAACCUUACCCGGGCUUAAAUUGCAGAUGAAUUACGGUGAAAGCCGUAAGCCGCAAGGCAUCUGUGAAGGUGCUGCAUGGUUGUCGUCAGCUCGUGCCGUGAGGUGUCGGCUUAAGUGCCAUAACGAGCGCAACCCUUGUUGUCAGUUACUAACAGGUUAUGCUGAGGACUCUGACAAGACUGCCAUCGUAAGAUGUGAGGAAGGUGGGGAUGACGUCAAAUCAGCACNGCCCUUACGUCCGGGGCUACACACGUGUUACAAUGGGGGGUACAGAGGGCNGCUACCACGCGAGUGGAUGCCAAUCCCCAAAACCUCUC
RNAcentral lists this ribosomal RNA (785 nucleotides) under uncultured Bacteroides sp. Its description in RNAcentral is "bacterial SSU rRNA". It matches the Rfam family "Bacterial small subunit ribosomal RNA", at positions 495 to 1287 of the family's 1533-position model. The record is from RNAcentral. Lineage: Bacteria; Pseudomonadati; Bacteroidota; Bacteroidia; Bacteroidales; Bacteroidaceae.